This 434-nucleotide unclassified non-coding RNA is filed under the name soil metagenome. Its description in RNAcentral is "partial contains 5.8S ribosomal RNA, internal transcribed spacer 2, and large subunit ribosomal RNA". The stretch from base 1 to 120 matches the Rfam family "5.8S ribosomal RNA", at positions 35 to 154 of the family's 154-position model. The record is from RNAcentral.
GAUGAAGAACGCAGCGAAAUGCGAUACGUAAUGUGAAUUGCAGAAUUCAGUGAAUCAUCGAAUCUUUGAACGCAUAUUGCGCUCUUUGGUAUUCCGAAGAGCAUGCUUGUUUGAGUAUCAGUAAACACCUCAAAGCUUUUGGAUUUUUUAAUCGAAAAGCUUUGGACUUGAGCAAUCCCAACACCAAUCUUUUUGAGAUCGGUGGCGGGUUGCUUGAAAUGCAGGUGCAGCUGGACAUUCUCCUGAGCUAAAAGCAUAUUCAUUUAGUACCGUCAAACGGAUUAUUACUUUUGCUGCAGCUAACAUAAAGGGAGUUUGACCGUAUUGGCUGACUGAUGCAGGAUUUCACAAGGGUCGGCAACGAUUCUUGUUAAACUCGAUCUCAAAUCAAGUAAGACUACCCGCUGAACUUAAGCAUAUCAAUAAGCGGAGGA